GUGGAUAGAGUUGAAAUUUGUCAUAGCCUAAACAAGGGCAUGCUGGAUACUUGUGACGUCGUUUUAUCUGCUGUUAUAAUCUGAGUUUGUGACCUAUUAAGUUUUGAUGUCACUUAAUCAAUGCUUGAUCACCAACAUUUAGAAACUUGAUUAGCUACUACUUUGGAAUUAUCGUUUCAUUCUCUUGCUGGAUUUUUAUUUCAAUUAUUGUUAUCUCAACCCCACAGGUUUUGAGCUAUGAUGGUUUGC
This 249-nucleotide unclassified non-coding RNA is filed under the name Hevea brasiliensis (rubber tree). Lineage: Eukaryota; Viridiplantae; Streptophyta; Magnoliopsida; Malpighiales; Euphorbiaceae. The record is from RNAcentral.